GAUGAACGCUGGCGGCGUGCCUAAUACAUGCAAGUCGAGCGAACGGACGAUAAGCUUGCUGCUUUGUCGUUAGCGGCGGACGGGUGAGUAACACGUGGAUAACCUACCUAUAAGUCUGGGAUAACUUCGGGAAACCGGCGCUAAUACCGGAUAAUAUUUUGAACCGCAUUGUUCAAUAGUGAAAUACGGUCUUGCUGUCUCUUAUAGAUGGAUCCGGGCUGCAUUAGCUGGUUGGUACGGUAACGGCUUACCAAGGCAACGAUGCAUAGCCGACCUGAGAGGGGGAUCGGCCACACUGGAGGGGAGACAGGGACAAGGCGCCUGAGGGAGGCAGCAGUAGGGAAUCGGACGCAGUGGGGGAAAGCAUGGCGGAGCAGCGCCGCGUGAGUGGUGAAGGCGUUGGGAUCGUAAAACUCUGUUAUUAGGGAAGAACAUAUGUGUAAGUAACUGAGGAGAUAGUGACGGUACCUAAUCAGAAAGCAACGGCUAACUACGUG
RNAcentral lists this ribosomal RNA (497 nucleotides) under uncultured bacterium. RNAcentral's name for it is "partial 16S ribosomal RNA". It matches the Rfam family "Bacterial small subunit ribosomal RNA", at positions 28 to 507 of the family's 1533-position model. The record is from RNAcentral.